CUGGGUCCGUUCCUGUGGGACAUAGUG
Molecule: small RNA, 27 nt
Filed under: Bombyx mori (domestic silkworm)
Lineage: Eukaryota; Metazoa; Arthropoda; Insecta; Lepidoptera; Bombycidae
Description: ovarian small RNA-14954
Source: RNAcentral